GGAAUAUUGGACAAUGGGGGCAACCCUGAUCCAGCCACGCCGCGUGAGUGAUGAAGGCCUUCGGGUCGUAAAGCUCUGUGGGGAGGGACGAAUGUCCGGCGUAACCCGUCGGAGUGACGGUACCUCCUUAGCAAGCACCGGCUAACUUCGUGCCAGCAGCCGCGGUAAUACGAAGGGUGCAAACGUUGCUCGGAAUCAUUGGGCGUAAAGCGCACGUAGGCGGCUUCGCAAGUCGGAUGUGAAAUCCCUCGGCUCAACCGAGGACGUGCAUCCGAAACUGCAGAGCUUGAGUACAGAAGAGGAUCGCGGAAUUCCCGGUGUAGAGGUGAAAUUCGUAGAUAUCGGGAGGAACACCAGUGGCGAAGGCGGCGAUCUGGGCUGAUACUGACGCUGAGGUGCGAAAGCGUGGGGAGCAAAC
Molecule: ribosomal RNA, 418 nt
Filed under: uncultured bacterium
Lineage: Bacteria
Description: bacterial SSU rRNA
Rfam family: Bacterial small subunit ribosomal RNA
Source: RNAcentral